CACGUGGGCAACCUGCCCUUUGCACUGGGAUAGCCUCGGGAAACCGAGGUUAAUACCGGAUUACUCCAUAUUUGUCGCAUGGCGAAUAUGGGAAAGCUCCGGCGGCAAAGGAUGGGCCCGCGGCCUGUUAGCUAGUUGUGGGGUAGUGGCUCCAAGGCAAUGAUGGUAGCCGGGUUGAGAGACCGACCGGCCAGAUUGGGACUGAGACACGGCCCAGACUCCUACGGGAGGCAGCAGUGGGGAAUCUUGCACAAUGGGCGAAAGCCUGAUGCAGCGACGCCGCGUGCGGGAUGAAGGCCUUCGGGUUGUAAACCGCUUUCAGCAGGGACGAGGCCGCAAGGUGACGGUACCUGCAGAAGAAGCCCCGGCUAACUACGUGCCAGCAGCCGCGGUAAAU
RNAcentral lists this ribosomal RNA (397 nucleotides) under uncultured Atopobium sp. RNAcentral's name for it is "bacterial SSU rRNA". It matches the Rfam family "Bacterial small subunit ribosomal RNA", at positions 114 to 525 of the family's 1533-position model. The record is from RNAcentral. Lineage: Bacteria; Bacillati; Actinomycetota; Coriobacteriia; Coriobacteriales; Atopobiaceae.